This 378-nucleotide ribosomal RNA is filed under the name uncultured bacterium. Its description in RNAcentral is "bacterial SSU rRNA". It matches the Rfam family "Bacterial small subunit ribosomal RNA", at positions 28 to 412 of the family's 1533-position model. The record is from RNAcentral.
GACGAACGCUGGCGGCGUGCUUAACACAUGCAAGUCGAACGCUGAUCCACUUUCGGGUGGUGAUGAGCGGCGAACGGGUGAGUAACACGUGAGUAACCUGCCCUGGACUUUGGGAUAACCCUCGGAAACGGGGCUAAUACCGAAUAUGACUUCCCCUCGCAUGGGGGGUGGUGGAAAGUUUUUCGGUCUGGGAUGGGCUCGCGGCCUAUCAGCUUGUUGGUGGGGUGAUGGCCUACCAAGGCGACGACGGGAGCCGGCCUGAGAGGGCGACCGGCCACACUGGGACUGAGACACGGCCCAGACUCCUACGGGAGGCAGCAGGUGGGAAUAUUGCACAAUGGGCGGAAGCCUGAUGCAGCGACGCCGCGUGAGGAUGAC